RNAcentral lists this ribosomal RNA (118 nucleotides) under Atribacteria bacterium JGI 0000014-F07. Lineage: Bacteria; Pseudomonadati; Atribacterota. The record is from RNAcentral.
UUCCCGGUGGUUAUUGCGGAGAGGUCCCACCUGUUCCCAUCCCGAACACAGUAGUUAAGCUCUCUUGCGCCGAUGGUACUGCAGAUUUUCUGUGGGAGAGUAGGAAGCUGCCGGGAUU